UGGGGAAUAUUGGACAAUGGGCGAAAGCCUGAUCCAGCCAUGCCGCGUGUGUGAAGAAGGCCUUUUGGUUGUAAAGCACUUUAAGUGGGGAGGAAAAGCUUAUGGUUAAUACCCAUAAGCCCUGACGUUACCCACAGAAUAAGCACCGGCUAACUCUGUGCCAGCAGCCGCGGUAAUACAGAGGGUGCAAGCGUUAAUCGGAAUUACUGGGCGUAAAGCGCGCGUAGGUGGUUAUUUAAGUCAGAUGUGAAAGCCCCGGGCUUAACCUGGGAACUGCAUCUGAUACUGGAUAACUAGAGUAGGUGAGAGGGGAGUAGAAUUCCAGGUGUAGCGGUGAAAUGCGUAGAGAUCUGGAGGAAUACCGAUNGGCGAAGGCAGCUCCCUGGCAUCAUACUGACACUGAGGUGCGAAAGCGUGGGUAGCAAACAGGAUUAGAUACCCUGGUAGUCCACGCCGUAAACGAUGUCUACCAGUCGUUGGGUCUUUUAAAGACUUAGUGACGCAGUUAACGCAAUAAGUAGACCGCCUGGGGAGUACGGCCGCAAGGUUA
Molecule: ribosomal RNA, 550 nt
Filed under: uncultured bacterium
Lineage: Bacteria
Description: bacterial SSU rRNA
Rfam family: Bacterial small subunit ribosomal RNA
Source: RNAcentral